UACGUAGGGGGCAAGCGUUGUCCGGAUUUAUUGGGCGUAAAGAGCGUGUAGGCGGCCAGGUAGGUCGGUUGUGAAAACUGGAGGCUCAACCUUCAGACGUCGACCGAAACCAUUUGGCUAGAGUCCGGAAGAGGAGAAUGGAAUUCCUGGUGUAGCGGUGAAAUGCGCAGAUAUCAGGAAGAACACCCGUGGCGAAAGCGGUUCUCUGGGACGGUACUGACGCUGAGACGCGAAAGCGUGGGGAGCGAACAGGAUUAGAAACCCUGGUAGU
This 271-nucleotide ribosomal RNA is filed under the name uncultured bacterium. Its description in RNAcentral is "partial 16S ribosomal RNA". It matches the Rfam family "Bacterial small subunit ribosomal RNA", at positions 524 to 794 of the family's 1533-position model. The record is from RNAcentral.